RNAcentral lists this ribosomal RNA (253 nucleotides) under uncultured bacterium. RNAcentral describes it as "partial 16S ribosomal RNA". It matches the Rfam family "Bacterial small subunit ribosomal RNA", at positions 524 to 776 of the family's 1533-position model. The record is from RNAcentral.
UACGUAGGGUGCAAGCGUUGUCCGGAAUUAUUGGGCGUAAAGGGCUCGUAGGCGGUCUGUUGCGUCGGGAGUGAAAACUCAGGGCUUAACCCUGAGCCUGCUUCCGAUACGGGCAGACUAGAGGUAUGCAGGGGAAAACGGAAUUCCUGGUGUAGCGGUGAAAUGCGCAGAUAUCAGGAGGAACACCGAUGGCGAAGGCAGGUCUCUGGGCUGACACUGACGCUCAUGCACGAAAGCGUGGGGAGCAAACAGG